GGGGACCUUCGGGGCCCUUUACCAUCAGGGCCGCGCAGGCGGUCCGCACAAGCAAACGGAAGACAGUAA
RNAcentral lists this non-coding RNA (69 nucleotides) under unclassified sequences. RNAcentral describes it as "L2-Alphaproteobacteria ribosomal protein leader". It matches the Rfam family "L2-Alphaproteobacteria ribosomal protein leader". The record is from RNAcentral.